AAUAAAUUUUAUUUAGGUUUGGGAUUUUAAUAGUUGGUUAUAUUAUAUGCUAAUUUAAGUAUUAAGAAAAAUUAAUUUUAAAUAAGUUAAUUAGGUCACUUAGCAAUAAAUAAAAUUGAAACUUUAUGAAAAUAAGAUUCAGUAAUUAAAUUUAGUAUUGGUCAAAUUUGUGCCAGCAAUCGCGGUUAAACAAAUAGUGCAAUUAAAAUUUUAUUGGUUGUAAUUGAUAUGAUAAAUUUAGAUUUACAAUUUAGUUUAUUAAGUAGAAUUUUUAAAUUAUUAUUAAUCUAUAUGUAGUUUAAAAUAUUGAGAAAUUCAAAGAUUAGACUAGGAUUAGAUACCCUAUUAUUUUGAGUGUUAAAUUUAAAUACUUUAUUAGUAGUAGUUAUGUUCUUGAAAAUAAAUAGAUUUGGCGGUACUUUAGUCCAUUCAGAGGAACCUGUCCUAUAAUUGAUAAUCCACGAUUUAUUGCACUUAUUUUAAUUAGUUUAUAUAUCGCCGUUUUAGAAUUUUUUGAAAGAAUUUUAAUAUUUAAGAUUUUAUUUAUAAAAGUAGUUCAGGUCAAGAUGUAGUUUAUAGAUAAGGAGAGAUGGGUUACAUUAAUUUUAUUUAUUGGAUUAUUAUUUUAAAAAUAAUAAGAAAUUGGAUUUGAAGGUAAUUUUAAUUAGUUUAUUAAGAUGAUUUAGGCUCUAGAGUAUGUACAUAUCGCCCGUCACUUUCACUCUAAAGUGGAAUAAGUCGUAACAUAGUAGGUGUACUGGAAAGUGUGCCUGGAAAGGC
This 780-nucleotide non-coding RNA is filed under the name Sitophilus zeamais (maize weevil). Lineage: Eukaryota; Metazoa; Arthropoda; Insecta; Coleoptera; Curculionidae. The record is from RNAcentral.